AUGAGCAAAAAAAAAGCAAUGUUAAAUAGAAGGGAAAUGUUUACACCCGGCGCGUCAGGCAAACUUUGGGCCGGACGUGCGCGGGACGUUCGAUCGUGGGGGCAUCAUAUGGUCAGAAGGGAGCGUGACCCCACCUUAUCCCUUUGUUUUUUUACGUUGACUUUGGCUACUCGGCGCACUCCCAUCCUCUUGCUCCCCGCGUGCUUCCCCGUCAACCGUCGUUAUCCCCGUCGUUCCCCUGCCCGAUUAGACGCCGGCGAGCUGCUACCACACAUGGCCAGAGUGCGAACUGGAAUGCUCGCCGGCGAGCUGCUACCACACAUGAUCGGUGUACGAACUGGAGUGCUCGCCGGCGAGCUGCUACCACACAAGGCUGGAGUACGAUCGAACUGGAGUGCUCGCCGGCGAGAUGCUACCUCCGCACACGGCGUGCAAGCCAUAGCUGGCAAGGCAAAGCUGGAAGGUAACACUGGUGGCUUCGUAUGA
This 486-nucleotide ribosomal RNA is filed under the name Triticum aestivum (bread wheat). RNAcentral describes it as "partial small subunit ribosomal RNA". The record is from RNAcentral. Lineage: Eukaryota; Viridiplantae; Streptophyta; Magnoliopsida; Poales; Poaceae.